This 247-nucleotide long non-coding RNA is filed under the name Oryza brachyantha (malo sina). RNAcentral's name for it is "long non-coding RNA (OBRA_LNC003013)". Lineage: Eukaryota; Viridiplantae; Streptophyta; Magnoliopsida; Poales; Poaceae. The record is from RNAcentral.
AUUCUAGCAUUAAUUAAUAUAUUUUAAUGGCGGCCGCUCAUACACCUGAUUAGAUCUCCAGCAAGAAGAGGAUGAGAACUGAGAAUAACUUAGCUUGAAGAAAUUGGACUGGUAGAUUGAUUAGCAAACUACUACAAGAAUAAAUAACGUAUCAGAAUUACUUACCGUUUGGACCAACGCAAAGGAUAGUGAAAAACUUCAUCAAACUGGUUUCCUUGUACGCAGAUUUUGUUUGGCUGCUUUGCUG